RNAcentral lists this ribosomal RNA (253 nucleotides) under uncultured bacterium. Its description in RNAcentral is "partial 16S ribosomal RNA". It matches the Rfam family "Bacterial small subunit ribosomal RNA", at positions 524 to 776 of the family's 1533-position model. The record is from RNAcentral.
UACGUAGGGGGCUAGCGUUGUCCGGAAUCAUUGGGCGUAAAGCGCGUGUAGGCGGCCCGGUAAGUCCGCUGUGAAAGUCGGGGGCUCAACCCUCGAAUGCCGGUGGAUACUGUCGGGCUAGAGUACGGAAGAGGCGAGUGGAAUUCCUGGUGUAGCGGUGAAAUGCGCAGAUAUCAGGAGGAACACCGGUGGCGAAAGCGACUCACUGGACCGACACUGACGCUGAGGUGCGAAAGCUAGGGUAGCAAACGGG